RNAcentral lists this long non-coding RNA (737 nucleotides) under Mus spicilegus (steppe mouse). RNAcentral's name for it is "lncRNA (ENSMSIG00000011328.1)". The record is from RNAcentral. Lineage: Eukaryota; Metazoa; Chordata; Mammalia; Rodentia; Muridae.
GGAAAUAUUUUGGAGAAAUGGUGGGGCUGUGUGUCCAUCUUUUCUGUCCAAAAUUCAGAGAUUAUUAAAAAUUUAACCUACCAAGUCAGAGGUAUAUUCUUCCAAAUUUUUUCAGGACAAAUACUAAUCUCUAUUCUUUUAUUGCUUAAUUCUUUUUUUGUUUGUUUGUUUUUUUGUUUUACCAGACAUAAAAAGUCAUUUAUUUAUUUUGUUUUUUUGUUUGUUUUUUGUUUUGUUUUGUUUUGUUUUGAGACAGGGUUUCUCUGUGUAUUCUGGCUUUCCUGGAACUCACUCUGUAGACCAGGCUGGCCUCGAACUCAGAAAUACGCCUGCCUCUGCCUCCCAGGUGCUGGGAUUAAAGGCGUGCACCACCACUGCCUGUGGUGGUGGUGUGAAGGCCUGGCUUACCUACCAUGGUUCUUGCUUCUGGAGGAACAGCGUGCUCAGUGCAGUGUGCAGUCUCAGAUAACUCCAGAUUGCAUGAAGCUAACAACAGCAACAACAACAACAACAACAACAACAACAACACAACCAAAUUCCAAAUCUAACCAGAAUUGUGAUUCUUGGUCAUAUUUUCUUCAGGAUUCUGUUUCUUUUUGCAGAUAGAGAUGUUAUUGUAGCUAGAAAACAAUGAAGAGCAAAUAAUGGGAACAUCUAACAGAAUGUUCCCUAAGUGUAUAUCUGCCAAAAUCUAAACUCUUUUUUAUUAAAUAAACAGUCAUUUGUUUCAACUAUCA